Molecule: ribosomal RNA, 492 nt
Filed under: uncultured bacterium
Lineage: Bacteria
Description: partial 16S ribosomal RNA
Rfam family: Bacterial small subunit ribosomal RNA
Source: RNAcentral
AGUGAACGCUGGCGGUAGGCCUAACACAUGCCAGUCGAACGGCAGCACAGUAAGAGCUUGCUCUUACGGGUGGCGAGUGGCGGACGGGUGAGGAAUACAUCGGAAUCUACUUUUUCGUGGGGGAUAACGUAGGGAAACUUACGCUAAUACCGCAUACGACCUACGGGUGAAAGCAGGGGAUCUUCGGACCUUGCGCGAUUGAAUGAGCCGAUGUCGGAUUAGCUAGUUGGCGGGGUAAAGGCCCACCAAGGCGACGAUCCGUAGCUGGUCUGAGAGGAUGAUUCGCCCCCACUGAAAUGGGAACACGUUCCGGACUCCAACGGAGGGCGCAGUUGGGAAUUAUGGAACAAGGGGGGCAGGCUUGUCCCAGCCAUACGGGUGGGGUAAAGAAGGCCUUCGGUUUGUAAGGCCUUUUGUUUGGAAAGAAAAGCAGCAGGUUAAUACCCCGCUGUUCUGACGGUACCCAAAGAAUAAGCACCGGCUAACUUCGUG